AGAAGAUUUAUUAAGAAGUUGCCUGGGCUCGGGGGCCUGAACUAUAGGAAGAGACUCUAACAUAAAACCUAGAACAUCUGACUUAAAAAGGAACUUGAUCUAGAUGUUCAGGUGUCUAUUGAUAACUUGCUCCUAUACGAGCUGUCAGUGCUAGUCACUAUAUAGACGUGUGUUCUUCAUUGUCUAUAAUUGGCAGGCGGUCUUCAUUUUAUUUUGCAAAGGGAUUGAGUCAUGAAACAUCAUUUGCCUAUGUAGAAACAGGAAAUGCAGAUGCUGGUUAAUACACAAAAGGACACAAGGUGCUGGAGAAAAUCAGCAGGUCAGGCAGCAUCUCUGGAGAAUAUGGACAGGUGAUGUUUCGGGUUGAGACCCUAUUUUGUCAUUACCCGAAACAUCACCCAUCCAUGUUCUCCAGAGAUGCUGCCUGGCUGCAGAAUUACUCCAGCAUUUUAAGUCCUUUUGCAUCAUUUGUCUAUGACUUCCUAAAGGUGCAAAUAAAAGUCGAACAAUGGGAAUUAUCAUCUUCAUCCUGCUUUGGCACCCAGUCCCUGGAGCUUUUUGUGGUCUUCUUGGUCCUUAGUGUCAGAUAUGUCAACAUCUAACUUCCUGGAAAUCCUGGACCUUCAGAGACGCAAAGUGGGACCUCAGUGGGACAGGCAGCAACUCUGAAUAGAAGGAAUGGGUGAUGUUUCCGGUCGAGACUAUUCUUCAGACUGGACCUUCAUAUUUGGACCUUCAUGUUUGAUCGCAGGUCUGCAGAGAUCCAAGCGUCGGCCGAGCCUUCCCCACCAUCAAAGACAUCUACAUUAGACAUCGACUCAAGAAGUCAGCAUCUAUCAUCAAGGAUCCUCACCAUCAGGGCCUCUUCUCACUACUAUGGUACAGAAGCCUGAGGUCCCACACCACCAGGUUCAGGAACAGCUAUUUAUGUACAUCUACCAAGUUCUUGAACCAACCUGCACAACCCUAACCCUAAUCAGAGUGAGGUCAAAUGCAAAUUGGAGGAAUAGCAUCUCAUAUUUCACUUGGGCAGCUUACAACCCAGGGGUAUGAUAUUGAUUUCUCUAACUUCAAGUAACCCCUGCAUUCCAUCUCUUUCCAUCCCUCCCCCACUCAAAGCACACCAGCUUUUUGUUCUCACCUAGAAAACAGCUGACAAUGGCCCAUUUUCUUUAUCAUUGUUACUCUUUUGCAUAUCUUUUAUUCAUUUGUUCUAUAUCUCUCUACAUCAUCGUCUAUAUCUCUCGUUUCACUUUCCCGUGACAUUCAGUCUGAAGAAGGGUCUCGACACGAAAGGUCACCCAUUCCUUCUCUCCGGAGAUGCUGCCUGUCCCGCUGAGUUACUCCAGCAUUUUGUAUCUAGCUUCAGUUUAAACCUGCAUCUGCAGUUCCUUCCUACACAACCCUAAUACAACCUUGGCAAUGGAACACUACGGACCACACCUUGCACUACCUUUGUUUCAAUUUCUAAAUAUGUUUUGCAAUAACAUCGCAUUUUUUUCCCCACUCUUUUUCUUUCUACUGUCUUGCAGAAUGGUAUGUAUAAUUUAUGUAUAACUAUUUUUUUUUGUGCAUUUGCCUGUGAUGCUGCUGCAGGCAAGAUUUUCAUUGCACCUGAGCCUCGCUGUAUUUGUGCAUAUAUGACAAUAAACUUAACUUGACUGGAGACCCUUCUUCAGACCUUCAAGUCUGAAGAAGGGUCUCGACCAGAAAUGCCACCCAUUCCUUUUCUCCAGAGAUACUGUCUCACCCGUUGAGUUACUCCAGCAUUUUGUGUCUACCUUUAACUUGACUGGACUUGACUUGUAACGCUAGCUGUGAACCUCUGAAGAACCGCCAGCUAGGUCUGAGCUCAGCCCUACCUUGUAAUUGAAGAUAAUAUGAACGAGUUCCGUGUAAUAACAUGGUGUGUGCAAUUGAUUUAAUACGCAUGGCAAAUGUAAUGAUAUUAUCUUAAGUAUGACUGUUAUCAACGUGAUGGGAGUAAUGUGAGUGUGACAAUUUAUCACCAUUCAAUGGCAUUUAUUCUUAAAUAUUCUUCCCAUGAAAUUAAUGCAAUUAAUCAUUCUAAACCCCUUAUUAUGUUACCGUACCUGG
Long non-coding RNA from Leucoraja erinaceus (little skate), 2097 nucleotides. RefSeq lists it as uncharacterized. Lineage: Eukaryota; Metazoa; Chordata; Chondrichthyes; Rajiformes; Rajidae. The record is from RefSeq and is a predicted model, not a curated record. The transcript has 3 exons.